UUGAAGAAUUUGAAGACUUCAACUUGCAUACUUGAAAGAUUUAAAGAUUUCAACUUGCAUGCUUAGAGGAUUUGAAGACUUCAACU
Molecule: non-coding RNA, 86 nt
Organism: Solanum tuberosum (potato)
Lineage: Eukaryota; Viridiplantae; Streptophyta; Magnoliopsida; Solanales; Solanaceae
Source: Rfam